Molecule: unclassified non-coding RNA, 408 nt
Filed under: uncultured fungus
Lineage: Eukaryota; Fungi
Description: partial contains 5.8S ribosomal RNA, internal transcribed spacer 2, and large subunit ribosomal RNA
Rfam family: 5.8S ribosomal RNA (bases 1-52)
Source: RNAcentral
AACGCACCUUGCGCCCUCUGGUAUUCCGGAGGGCAUGCCUGUUUGAGUGUCAUUAAAUUCUCAACUUCAAUAGUUUUUAUAACUUGUUGAAGCUUGGAUGUGGAGGUUUUGCUGGCGUCUUAGAUGUUCGGCUCCUCUUAAAUGCAUUAGUGGACCCGUUUGUUGGACCAUCCUUGGUGUGAUAAUUAUCUACGCUUUGGUUAGUUCAAUAAACUCUAUGAGCUUUAAUCAGACGUGUUCUGGGUUGGGUUUUGCAUUAGUUUGCUUUACCUGUUUGUUCAGACGCCUUUUGGUGUCUAUCUCUUGGCUCAUUAGAGUAGGGAAUAUCUGCUCUCUAACCGUCUGUGUAUACGGACAAUACUUUGACUAUUUGACCUCAAAUCAGGUAGGACUACCCGCUGAACUUAA